GUUGUGACGUCUGCCUAUUGUCUCAGGGCGACCCUACUUUUCCACUAAUGCUCAACUGGUCAAGGUCCACCUGAAACAAUAGAGUCGCGGUAUGACCUCAUCAUGCACCUGCGUGGCUCAAGGACGCGUACGCUAUAGACAGGGGACCUGUUAUUUAUUGAAUCACUAUGCCAAGAUUAUUUCCUUUAUUCUACUAUAACAAUUGCAUAGGAAACUAUUGCAGAAAAACAUCACAUAUGAGAGGUGAUUGCAUGGAAAUGAUCGGAAUAAAAUAUGACGGGAGAAGUAGAAAUUAUGAUUCUGAGCCCUGUGAUACAUAUUCGCACAAAAAGUUUGAGCGUAGCGCGCAAUCCUGGAGCGCGAGGGAGCUUUGAAUCUCGCGGCAGAAAUGCCCCCUCACUCGGCUGUCAGCCGCUGACGUCAUGUGACCGCGCCGUCUUUUCCCUUAUUUUUUGCGAUUUCUCGGGCGCGCGCUGGCAAGCCGACCGGGAAGGAAGCGUUGUUGCUCAUCGGACGCCGUGCGAAGGACAGGUGAUGAAUUGAACACUCUUUAGGCGACACGUCUGCUCUUCUCGACGAAACGUUUUAUGGAAUUGGAGGCUAAGUUCCCCGAGCUUCGAUUUCGCCACACGAAUGUACCGGAGGCUGUCAUGAAGACGCGGCGCAGUGACCAGUGUUUUCACUUGAAGAUGUUGCCGACCAUCAUGACUUCUCCGUGUUGUGGUCAACACUAUGGGCUCUGAACCGCAUGGACACUGGCAUCUCUGAGGCGAAAGAGCGGACCGAUGAACGCAUAGCUGUGUAACAUUGCGCUUACCAUAUCUUAGUGAUACCAGGAGCGUAACGUCUCCACAAACACUACAACAUGAAUACCAAAAUAAAGUUAGUAAAGUUCAUCUGCUAGCGAUCUGUGGGAAACCCCAAAAUACAUGGUCAAAUAAUCAUUUUCUUUUUUGAAUGGUCAUACGCAGAAUACAACACAGGCACAUGGAAUAAAUUUCCAACUGACAGGAAUGUAUUUAGUCGUAUCAUAUAUAUGCUGCGCACACAGGCACAAUACUGUUCACUAAUGAACGACACCUCAGCACAAUCGGAACAGAAAUCACAACCGCGUACGAUCCACCUCAACCCGGGCCGUCACUGCAACACAGAGGCCUGGCUACACCUUUUACACUGCCCGCAGUCUUGUUUUAUGCAAAACUUACGAGACAAAUCAUGUAAGAACGCAAGUGAAUGUCAAACGCAAAUAAAUAGCAACAGCGUCUCA
Ornithodoros turicata is the source of this 1267-nucleotide long non-coding RNA. RefSeq lists it as uncharacterized. The transcript has 2 exons. The record is from RefSeq and is a predicted model, not a curated record. Lineage: Eukaryota; Metazoa; Arthropoda; Arachnida; Ixodida; Argasidae.